AUACGGAGGGUGCAAGCGUUACUCGGAAUCACUGGGCGUAAAGGACGCGUAGGCGGGUUGUCAAGUCUGAUGUGAAAUCCUAUGGCUCAACCAUAGAACUGCAUUGGAAACUGGCAACCUAGAGUAUGGGAGGGGGAGAUGGAAUUAGUGGUGUAGGGGUAAAAUCCGUAGAUAUCACUAGGAAUACCGAAAGCGAAGGCGAUCUCCUGGAACAUAACUGACGCUAAGGCGUGAAAGCGUGGGGAGCAAACGGGAUUAGAAACCCUAGUAGUCC
Molecule: ribosomal RNA, 274 nt
Filed under: uncultured bacterium
Lineage: Bacteria
Description: partial 16S ribosomal RNA
Rfam family: Bacterial small subunit ribosomal RNA
Source: RNAcentral